UGGGAAAUGUUCUCUUCAGAUGUUUCACAA
Molecule: non-coding RNA, 30 nt
Filed under: Rattus norvegicus (Norway rat)
Lineage: Eukaryota; Metazoa; Chordata; Mammalia; Rodentia; Muridae
Source: RNAcentral